UUUAAAAUAUAGACCACUAUUUGUACAGUAUAAAUAUUUAUUAAAAACGAAUACCCGCACGGGUGUACAUGCCAUUAUCGGACUUAGAUGCAAAGAAGAACGGUUUUACGAUCAAAUAUAAAAUAGGAGGAAAAGAAAGUGAGGACAAUCCUCUCACCUUUCUUAGAAAGUGAAAUCAAGAUGCAACUUAGGCAACUUUUAGAUUAGAAGGUAUCGAAACUUGCUUCUCGUUUUAUUACAUUGUUCCAUCCAAAUAUCAUAUGACAAAACCAUUCUUGGAAGUCAAAACCCUUUAAGUUUCUUAGUAACUGAUGGUAAGAAAAAUACACAGCAGAGUAGUUAUGGCAUUACAAAAAAAGAGAGACUAACAAUUAACAACUUUGUCACCCUACUUAACAACUUGAGCAUAUAUCACAAAGACAACGAACAUGUCCCAAGACCCGAGCUCGAACAACAAAGUGUACAAUCAAAUUCCGAAAAUC
This 482-nucleotide long non-coding RNA is filed under the name Brassica napus (rape). Its description in RNAcentral is "long non-coding RNA (BNAP_LNC005735)". Lineage: Eukaryota; Viridiplantae; Streptophyta; Magnoliopsida; Brassicales; Brassicaceae. The record is from RNAcentral.